RNAcentral lists this long non-coding RNA (590 nucleotides) under Parus major (Great Tit). RNAcentral's name for it is "lncRNA (ENSPMJG00000004529.1)". Lineage: Eukaryota; Metazoa; Chordata; Aves; Passeriformes; Paridae. The record is from RNAcentral.
GUGGAGGAAAGCUCCUUAACCUACCAGGGAGUCAUCUGCAGAUUCAGAAACCAGAAGGCAUGAGCAGAACUUAAAAAGUUGAAGAUUUUCCAUGAAAAAAAUGAAAAACUUGUGAUUCUCAAGUCAAUCUUUUCCUUUCAGGGGGGCUCAUGAAGCUGAGAUCUGACAUGACCACAGGUGGAUUUUGCUUCCAGUGAAGAUGGUAUAAGGCAUAAACUGCAAAGGGGUGAUCUGCCCCCAACUCUACCAGCCUCACUGCUGAGGGACAGGAAAACUCAGCUCUGGCUCAUUAUGGACUUGAUGGUAUCUACUUUUGUUUCUCUGUGGAGCUGAAGCUCUGGUGCUCUCCGAGUGUGCAUGAUAAAACCUUGACUGCACCCCAGGCAGGGCAGGGAUUCCUCAGGUCCAUGGAUGAACAGAAAAUCACACCUGUGGGCAGAAGCUGAGCCCUGAAAAGCUGCCUCAGGCUUCCUCCAACAUUAACUUCCUGAAUUAAACUCAACCUCAGUUUUUAUACUAUUCUUGCCACCUUUUUUCUUUCAGUUGACUUGAGUAGAUUAAUUUCAAAAAGUAAAAUAAAAUAAAUAGUG